AGGGAAUAUUAGAAAUGGACGAAAGUCUGAUCUAGCAACACCGCGUGUGCGAUGAAGGCCUUCGGGUUGUAAAGCACUUUUUGGAAGGAUUAGGAAGGAGUGUACUUCCAGAAUAAGUCUCGGCUAACUACGUGCCAGCAGCCGCGGUAACACGUAGGAGGCGAACGUUAUCCGGAUUUACUGGGCGUAAAGCGCGUGUAGGUGGUUCUGUAAGUAGGGCGUGAAAGCUCCUGGCUCAACUGGGAGAGGCCGUUCUAAACUGCAGAGCUAGAGGAUGGUAGAGGGAGGUGGAAUUCCGGGUGUAGCGGUGGAAUGCGCAGAUAUCCGGAGGAACACCAGUGGCGAAGGCGGCCUCCUGGACCAUUCCUGACACUCAGACGCGAAAGCUAGGGUAGCAAACGG
This 402-nucleotide ribosomal RNA is filed under the name uncultured bacterium. Its description in RNAcentral is "bacterial SSU rRNA". It matches the Rfam family "Bacterial small subunit ribosomal RNA", at positions 356 to 775 of the family's 1533-position model. The record is from RNAcentral.